UACGUAAGGUGCAAGCGUUAAUCGGAAUUACUGGGCGUAAAGCGUGCGCAGGCGGUUUUGUAAGUCUGUCGUGAAAUCCCCGGGCUCAACCUGGGAAUUGCGAUGGAGACUGCAAGGCUAGAAUCUGGCAGAGGGGGGUAGAAUUCCACGUGUAGCAGUGAAAUGCGUAGAGAUGUGGAGGAACACCGAUGGCGAAGGCAGCCCCCUGGGUCAAGAUUGACGCUCAUGCACGAAAGCGUGGGGAGCAAACAGG
RNAcentral lists this ribosomal RNA (253 nucleotides) under uncultured bacterium. RNAcentral's name for it is "partial 16S ribosomal RNA". It matches the Rfam family "Bacterial small subunit ribosomal RNA", at positions 524 to 776 of the family's 1533-position model. The record is from RNAcentral.